UGAGAGAGUGUGUAUACUGAGAGAGAGAGUGCGUGUAUGCUGAGAUUUUUUAAGAAAUGACCUAAUGGAGUAUUUUGGGAUGAUUAAGAAAAAAUAAGGGUUGUAAUUAGUUUUGUUAAUUAAUAUUUUAAAUUGCCUAAAUUUUGCCAAAAAAAAGGAAAAGCAUCAACUUCGUUGGAACGGCCCAAAAAGGAAUACGCAUCAACUUCGGUGAAGUUGAGGGAGUACUUAAUAUCAAUCCACAAUGGGCUGCUAAACACAAAAGUUCGUGCCCAUUUCAAAAACAGCAUAGUAGUAGCAACCCAACGUAUAGAGAGCAGCCCAGUAACCACACCAUCAGUGACCCGGACCCGCGGUCCAUUUCACAUCGGGUCCGAA
Molecule: long non-coding RNA, 378 nt
Filed under: Salvia miltiorrhiza (redroot sage)
Lineage: Eukaryota; Viridiplantae; Streptophyta; Magnoliopsida; Lamiales; Lamiaceae
Description: long non-coding RNA (SMIL_LNC012563)
Source: RNAcentral